This 497-nucleotide ribosomal RNA is filed under the name uncultured bacterium. RNAcentral describes it as "partial 16S ribosomal RNA". It matches the Rfam family "Bacterial small subunit ribosomal RNA", at positions 28 to 507 of the family's 1533-position model. The record is from RNAcentral.
GAUGAACGCUGGCGGCGUGCCUAAUACAUGCAAGUCGAGCGAACAGACGAGGAGCUUGCUCCUCUGACGUUAGCGGCGGACGGGUGAGUAACACGUGGAUAACCUACCUAUAAGACUGGGAUAACUUCGGGAAACCGGAUCUAAUACCGGAUAAUAUAUUGAACCGCAUGGUUCAAUAGUGAAAGACGGUUUUGCUGUCACUUAUAGAUGUAUCCGCGCCGCAUUAGCUAGUUGGUAAGGUAACGGCUUACCAAGGCAACGAUGCGUAGCCGACCUGAGAGGGUGAUCGGCCACACUGGAACUGAGACACGGUCCAGACUCCUACGGGAGGCAGCAGUAGGGAAUCUUCCGCAAUGGGCGUAAGCCUGACGGAGCAACGCCGCGUGAGUGAUGAAGGUCUUCGGAUCGUAAAACUCUGUUAUUAGGGAAGAACAAAUGUGUAAGUAACUAUGCACGUCUUGACGGUACCUAAUCAGAAAGCCACGGCUAACUACGUG